Molecule: ribosomal RNA, 253 nt
Filed under: uncultured bacterium
Lineage: Bacteria
Description: partial 16S ribosomal RNA
Rfam family: Bacterial small subunit ribosomal RNA
Source: RNAcentral
GACGAACCGUGCGAACGUUGUUCGGAAUCACUGGGCUUAAAGGGCGCGUAGGCGGGCUGUCAAGUCUGGGGUGAAAUCCCACGGCUCAACCGUGGAACUGCCCCGGAUACUGACGGCCUCGAGGGGGGUAGGGGCGUGCGGAACUGUGGGUGGAGCGGUGAAAUGCGUUGAUAUCCACAGGAACUCCGGUGGCGAAGGCGGCACGCUGGACCUCUUCUGACGCUGAGGCGCGAAAGCCAGGGGAGCAAACGGG